This 164-nucleotide ribosomal RNA is filed under the name uncultured bacterium. RNAcentral's name for it is "partial 16S ribosomal RNA". It matches the Rfam family "Bacterial small subunit ribosomal RNA", at positions 355 to 511 of the family's 1533-position model. The record is from RNAcentral.
UAGGGAAUCUUCCACAAUGGACGAAAGUCUGAUGGAGCGACGCCGCGUGAGUGAAGAAGGGUUUCGGCUCGUAAAACUCUGUUGUUAAAGAAGAACAUAUCUGAGAGUAACUGUUCAGGUAUUGACGGUAUUUAACCAGAAAGCCACGGCUAACUACGUGCCAG